RNAcentral lists this ribosomal RNA (490 nucleotides) under uncultured bacterium. RNAcentral's name for it is "partial 16S ribosomal RNA". It matches the Rfam family "Bacterial small subunit ribosomal RNA", at positions 30 to 507 of the family's 1533-position model. The record is from RNAcentral.
AUUGAACGCUGGCGGCAGUCCUAACACAUGCAAGUCGAACGGUAACAGGAAGCAGCUUGCUGCUUCGCUGACGAGUGGCGGACGGGUGAGUAAUGUCUGGGAAGCUGCCUGAUGGAGGGGGAUAACUACUGGAAACGGUAGCUAAUACCGCAUAAUGUCGCAAGACCAAAGAGGGGGACCUUCGGGCCUCUUGCCAUCGGAUGUGCCCAGAUGGGAUUAGCUUGUUGGUGGGGUAACGGCUCACCAAGGCGACGAUCCCUAGCUGGUCUGAGAGGAUGACCAGCCACACUGGAACUGAGACACGGUCCAGACUCCUACGGGAGGCAGCAGUGGGGAAUAUUGCACAAUGGGCGCAAGCCUGAUGCAGCCAUGCCGCGUGUAUGAAGAAGGCCUUCGGGUUGUAAAGUACUUUCAGUGGGGAGGAAGGGAGUAAAGUUAAUACCUUUGCUCAUUGACGUUACCCGCAGAAGAAGCACCGGCUAACUCCGUG